CUGCCAGUCUUCAACAGUGAUGGAUAAUCUAGAAAAAGAAAAUUCUAUAUUGGGUCCCCCUAUCAUUCGUGAAACAGGGUCCACGUCGGGUACAUCUAAACUGCCUCCUGUUUCCUUGCGCUGUUCCAAUCAAAGCUCAUAGCCGGGCCAGAAAGGUGUGUUUGGCUGCUAAAGAGCAACGAAGUGACUAUGUUGCUCUAAAAAAUAUUCUGCACUACCAAUACUGUCGUGCAAAGAGGUUUGAAUAUGAACAUCCAAGAUUUUGCUGUAACAGUGGUGCAAUAAGGUCGACAUCUCAUAAAAUGCUACCUGAAUUAUCAGAGUUAUACUUUGGAAAUACUGAAGAAUCUGAAAACUUUCAAACUUAUAUUAGAACGUACAACAACAUAUUUGCAUUUACUUCACUUGGUGUAAUGUAUGAUAAAGAGCUAGCGAGAAAAAAUUGUGGUAUCUACACAUUUAGAGUCCAUGGAAAAAUAUAUCAUUUUAUAGAUGAUUUAAUUCCUUCCAAUGAAAAACCCAGGAAUUUACAGUUGUACUUCUAUGAUCAUGAUCAUGAACUAGCCAAUAGGAUGGCUUGUUCGACAAGAACUAAUGAAUCAAUAGUGAAAAAGUUGAUGGACAUAUUGAAAGUAAAU
Nicotiana tabacum (common tobacco) is the source of this 638-nucleotide non-coding RNA. The record is from RefSeq and is a predicted model, not a curated record. Lineage: Eukaryota; Viridiplantae; Streptophyta; Magnoliopsida; Solanales; Solanaceae.